UACGUAGGCAGCAAGCGUUGUUCGGAGUUACUGGGCGUAAAGAGUGCGUAGGCGGUCCUGUAAGUUUGGUGUGAAAUCUCCCGGCUCAACUGGGAGGGUGCGCCGAAGACUGCAGGGCUUGAGUAUGGGAGAGGUAAGCGGAAUUCCUGGUGUAGCGGUGAAAUGCGUAGAUAUCAGGAGGAACACCAAUUGCGAAGGCAGCUCGCUGGGACGUUACUGACGCUGAGACGCGAAAGCGUGGGGAGCGAACAGG
This 253-nucleotide ribosomal RNA is filed under the name uncultured bacterium. RNAcentral's name for it is "partial 16S ribosomal RNA". It matches the Rfam family "Bacterial small subunit ribosomal RNA", at positions 524 to 776 of the family's 1533-position model. The record is from RNAcentral.